CUGCUUUUUGACAGCACAUAUAUCAGGAUUGGAACAAUAAAGGGAAGAUUAGCAUGGUCCUUGCGCAAGGAUGACACGCAUAUAGUGAAGCGUUCCUUUUUUAA
Molecule: small nuclear RNA, 104 nt
Organism: Ostrea edulis (European flat oyster)
Lineage: Eukaryota; Metazoa; Mollusca; Bivalvia; Ostreida; Ostreidae
Source: RefSeq, a predicted model, not a curated record